GAAAUGGUGGUUCAGUGGUAAAAUUCUCACCUUUCUUGUAAGAGACCUGGGUUUGAUUCCUGGCCAAUGCA
RNAcentral lists this transfer RNA (71 nucleotides) under Loxodonta africana (African savanna elephant). It matches the Rfam family "tRNA". Rfam says of the family: Transfer RNA (tRNA) molecules are approximately 80 nucleotides in length. Their secondary structure includes four short double-helical elements and three loops (D, anti-codon, and T loops). The record is from Rfam by way of RNAcentral. Lineage: Eukaryota; Metazoa; Chordata; Mammalia; Proboscidea; Elephantidae.